UAAGCGGAGGAAAAGAAACUAACAAGGAUUCCCCUAGUAACGGCGAGUGAAGCGGGAAGAGCUCAAAUUUGAAAGCUGGCAGCAAUGUCCGCGUUGUAAUCUCGAGACGUGUUUUCCGUGCUGGACCGUGGACAAGUUUCCUGGAAUGGAAUGUCAUAGAGGGUGAAAACCCCGUACUUGCCGCGGACGCCCAGUGCUUUGUGAUGCGCGUUCGAAGAGUCGAGUUGUUUGGGAAUGCAGCUCAAAAUGGGUGGUAAAUUCCAUCUAAAGCUAAAUAUUGGGGAGAGACCGAUAGCAAACAAGUACCGUGAGGGAAAGAUGAAAAGCACUUUGGAAAGAGAGUUAAACAGUACGUGAAAUUGUCAAAAGGGAAGCAUUGGAAGUCAGACGUGCAUGCAGUACUCAGCCUGGCUUUGGCUUGGUGUAUUUGCUGUUUUGCAGGCCAACAUCGAUUUUUGGCAACGGAUAAGGGUAGAGAGAAUGUGGCCUCCCCGGAGGUGUUAUAGCUCUCUACUGGAUACGUUGCCGGGGAUCGAGGAACGCAGCGUCCCCGCAAGGGCAGGUCUUCGGACACUUUGACGCUUAGGAUGUUGGCGUAAUGGCUUUCAAUGACCCGUCUUGAAACACGGACCAAGGAGUCUAACAUGUCUGCGAGUCUUUGGGUGGCAAACCCAUGGGCGCAAUGAAAGUGAAUGCAGGUGGGAUCCCGCAAGGGUGCACCAUCGACCGAUCCAGAUCUUCUGUGACGGAUUUGAGUAAGAGCAUAUAUGUUGGGACCCGAAAGAUGGUGAACUAUGCCUGAAUAGGGCGAAGCCAGAGGAAACUCUGGUGGAGGCUCGUAGCGGUUCUGACGUGCAAAUCGAUCGUCAAAUUUGGGUAUAGGGGCGAAAGACUAAUCGAACCAU
Molecule: ribosomal RNA, 905 nt
Filed under: Graphiola sp. WSP 71169
Lineage: Eukaryota; Fungi; Basidiomycota; Exobasidiomycetes; Exobasidiales; Graphiolaceae
Description: eukaryotic LSU rRNA
Rfam family: Eukaryotic large subunit ribosomal RNA
Source: RNAcentral